Molecule: transfer RNA, 72 nt
Filed under: Camelus bactrianus (Bactrian camel)
Lineage: Eukaryota; Metazoa; Chordata; Mammalia; Artiodactyla; Camelidae
Also listed under: 2 other names
Rfam family: tRNA
About the family: Transfer RNA (tRNA) molecules are approximately 80 nucleotides in length.
Source: Rfam by way of RNAcentral
GAGGAUGUAGCUCAGUAGUAGAGCAUGUGCUUAGCAUGCACAAGGUCUUGAGUUCAAUCCCCAGUACCUCCA